Molecule: ribosomal RNA, 323 nt
Filed under: uncultured eukaryote
Lineage: Eukaryota
Description: partial 18S ribosomal RNA
Rfam family: Eukaryotic small subunit ribosomal RNA
Source: RNAcentral
CCCUUAGAUGUUCUGGGCCGCACGCGCGCUACACUGAUGCAUUCAACGAGUUUCUUCCUGGUCCGAGAGGAAUGGGUAACCUUUUGAAAGUGCAUCGUGAUAGGGAUAGACUAUUGCAAUUAUUGGUCUUCAACGAGGAAUUCCUAGUAGACGUAGUUCAUCAGACUGCAUCGAUUACGUCCCUGCCCUUUGUACACACCGCCCGUCGCUCCUACCGAUUGAGCGAUCCGGUGAAUGUUUUGGACUGGCGUCAGAAGCGGUUCGCUCCUGACACUACGAAAUUUUGUAAACCUUAUCGCUUAGAGGAAGGAAAAGUCGUAACA